Acanthosepion pharaonis is the source of this 112-nucleotide non-coding RNA. NCBI's taxonomy places the organism in Eukaryota, Metazoa, Mollusca, Cephalopoda, Sepiida, Sepiidae. The record is from the annotation of a GenBank genome assembly.
CAAGCAUAUCACGUUGAAACCCCCGUUUCUCGUACGAUCACCAUAGUUAAGCAACUUCGAGCCUGGUCAGUACCUAGAUGGGUGACCCCUUUGGAAUGCCAAGUGCUGUAAG